UUUGGUUUGUUACGUGUGGUUGGCUGCGGCGUUUGCAACAACUUCCAUGCUUUCAGACCUCUUCAGUUGUGCGGCAAGGCUUGUAUCGCCUUGAGCGUAUUGUGGGUUUUCUGUGUUGGCUACCUAAUCAAUGGUAUCGGUUGGAUUGAUCAAAGUUUGAUUUCGUCUUUCGUCGCAUUCGCGGCGCGAGGUGAACCUGGAUGCAGUCUCUUUGAUCCACCUCGUUGAAGCACAUGCUUCGAUGUUGUGGCACAUUGAGCAUUGCUUGGUCUCUUGUAUACGGAACAUAUAGUGGGCAUGGAUCUAACGAUUCUUGUUUGCCCUCAUAUUAGCGUAACGCUUCUCUAACACGACUUGUGCCACGUUUUAG
RNAcentral lists this unclassified non-coding RNA (370 nucleotides) under Artemisia salsoloides. Its description in RNAcentral is "partial external transcribed spacer". Lineage: Eukaryota; Viridiplantae; Streptophyta; Magnoliopsida; Asterales; Asteraceae. RNAcentral also lists the same sequence under 1 other name. The record is from RNAcentral.